UUCGGGUCUAGUGGCGCACGGGUGCGUAACGCGUGGGAAUCUACCCUUGGGUUCGGAAUAACAGUUGGAAACGACUGCUAAUACCGGAUGAUGACGAAAGUCCAAAGAUUUAUCGCCCAGGGAUGAGCCCGCGUAGGAUUAGCUAGUUGGUGAGGUAAAGGCUCACCAAGGCUACGAUCCUUAGCUGGUCUGAGAGGAUGAUCAGCCACACUGGGACUGAGACACGGCCCAGACUCCUACGGGAGGCAGCAGUAGGGAAUAUUGGACAAUGGGGGCAACCCUGAUCCAGCAAUGCCGCGUGAGUGAUGAAGGCCUUAGGGUUGUAAAGCUCUUUUACCCGAGAUGAUAAUGACAGUAUCGGGAGAAUAAGCUCCGGCUAACUCCGUGCCAGCAGCCGCGGUAAUACGGAGGGAGCUAGCGUUGUUCGGAAUUACUGGGCGUAAAGCGCACGUAGGCGGCGAUUUAAGUCAGAGGUGAAAGCCCGGGGCUCAACCCCGGAACUGCCUUUGAGACUGGAUUGCUAGAAUCUUGGAGAGGCGGGUGGAAUUCCGAGUGUAGAGGUGAAAUUCGUAGAUAUUCGGAAGAACACCAGUGGCGAAGGCGGCCC
Molecule: ribosomal RNA, 607 nt
Filed under: uncultured Alphaproteobacteria bacterium
Lineage: Bacteria; Pseudomonadati; Pseudomonadota; Alphaproteobacteria
Description: bacterial SSU rRNA
Rfam family: Bacterial small subunit ribosomal RNA
Source: RNAcentral